GGGGGUGUAGCUCAUUUGGUAGAGCGCUCGCUUCGCAUGCGAGAGGUACGGGGUUCAAUUCCCCGCACCUCCA
Ipomoea nil (Japanese morning glory) is the source of this 73-nucleotide transfer RNA. It matches the Rfam family "tRNA". From Rfam's summary of the family: Transfer RNA (tRNA) molecules are approximately 80 nucleotides in length. Their secondary structure includes four short double-helical elements and three loops (D, anti-codon, and T loops). The record is from Rfam. NCBI's taxonomy places the organism in Eukaryota, Viridiplantae, Streptophyta, Magnoliopsida, Solanales, Convolvulaceae.